GAUGAACGCUGGCGGCGUGCCUAAUACAUGCAAGUCGAGCGAACGGACGAGAAGCUUGCUUCUCUGAUGUUAGCGGCGGACGGGUGAGUAACACGUGGAUAACCUACCUAUAAGACUGGGAUAACUUCGGGAAACCGGAUCUAAUACCGGAUGAUAUUUUGAACCGCACGGUUCAAAAGUGAAAGACGGUCUUGCUGUCACUUAUAGAUGGAUCCGCGCUGCAUUAGCUAGUUGGUAAGGUAACGGCUUACCAAGGCAACGAUGCAUAGCCGACCUGAGAGGGUGAUCGGCCACACUGGAACUGAGACACGGUCCAGACUCCUACGGGAGGCAGCAGUAGGGAAUCUUCCGCAAUGGGCGAAAGCCUGACGGAGCAACGCCGCGUGAGUGAUGAAGGUCUUCGGAUCGUAAAACUCUGUUAUUAGGGAAGAACAUAUGUGUAAGUAACUGUGCACAUCUUGACGGUACCUAAUCAGAAAGCCACGGCUAACUACGUG
Molecule: ribosomal RNA, 497 nt
Filed under: uncultured bacterium
Lineage: Bacteria
Description: partial 16S ribosomal RNA
Rfam family: Bacterial small subunit ribosomal RNA
Source: RNAcentral